RNAcentral lists this ribosomal RNA (433 nucleotides) under uncultured bacterium. RNAcentral describes it as "partial 16S ribosomal RNA". It matches the Rfam family "Bacterial small subunit ribosomal RNA", at positions 29 to 507 of the family's 1533-position model. The record is from RNAcentral.
AACGAACGCUGGCGGCAUGCCUAACACAUGCAAGUCGAACGAGACCUUCGGGUCUAGUGGCGCACGGGUGCGUAACGCGUGGGAACCUGCCCUUAGGUUCGGAAUAACACCCCGAAAGGGGUGCUAAUACCGGAUAAUGUCUUCGGACCAAAGAUUUAUCGCCUUUGGAUGGGCCCGCGUUGGAUUAGCUAGUUGGUAGGGUAAAAGCCUACCGCGGCGACGAUCCAUAGCUGGUCUGAGAGGAUGAUCAGCCACACUGAGACUGAGACACGGCCCAGACUCCUACGGGAGGCAGGAGUGGGGAAUAUAGGACAAUGGGCGAAAGCCUGAUCCAGCAAUGCCGGGUGAGUGAUGAAGGCCUUAGGGAUGUAAAGCUCUUUUACCCGGGAUGAUAAUGACAGUACCGGGAGAAUAAGCUCCGGCUAACUCCGUG